GAUGAACGCUGGCGGCGUGGAUAAGGCAUGCAAGUCGCGGGAGGCUUCGAGCCUACCGGCGAAUGGGUUAGUAACACGUAGAUAACAUACCCCAGAGAUAGGGAUAAUCCGUCGAAAGGCGGGCUAAUACCUAAGGUCCGAGCCUAUAAUACUUUAUAUGUUCGGUAAAGGUUUCGAGCAAUCGUUUCUGCUCUGGGAGUGGUCUGCGGCCUAUCAGCUAGUUGGUAAGGUAAUGGCUUACCAAGGCAAUGACGGGUAGGGGGUGUGAGAGCACGAUCCCCAACAGAGGCACUGAGACACGGGCCUCACUCCUACGGGAGGCAGCAGUCGAGAAUCUUCGGCAAUGGGCGAAAGCCUGACCGAGCGACGCCGCGUGCAGGAAGAAGGCCUUCGGGUUGUAAACUGCUUUUAACCGGGAAGAACCUUCGGGUGACAGUACCGGUUGAAUAAGGGGGUGCUAACUCUGUGCCAGCAGCAGCGGUAAUACAGAGCCCCCAAGCGUUAUCCGGAUUUAUUGGGCGUAAAGGGUCCGUAGACGCCUCGUCAAGUUUCUUGUUAAAUCCUCAGGGCUUAACCUUGAAGCUGUGAGAAAAACUAGCGAGGUAGAGGGCGUUAGAGGCCAGUGGAAUACACGGUGUAGGGGUGAAAUCCGUUGAUACCGUGUAGAACACCAAAAGCGAAGGCAGCUGGCUGGAGCGACCCUGACGUUGAGGGACGAAAGCGUGGGGAGCGAAGAGGAUUAGAUACCCUCGUAGUCCACGCCCUAAACGAUGGAUGCUAGCUGGUGGGAGUGUCGACCCUUUCACUGGCGAAGCUAACGCGUUAAGCAUCCCGCCUGGGAAGACGGCCGCAAGGUU
This 857-nucleotide ribosomal RNA is filed under the name uncultured bacterium. RNAcentral describes it as "bacterial SSU rRNA". It matches the Rfam family "Bacterial small subunit ribosomal RNA", at positions 28 to 895 of the family's 1533-position model. The record is from RNAcentral.